GAGGAUAUAAUAAAAAUGAACUGCAGAUGUUGGAUAAUACCAAAGAUGGAUACGGAGUUCUGGAGUAACUCAG
Molecule: long non-coding RNA, 73 nt
Organism: Amblyraja radiata (thorny skate)
Lineage: Eukaryota; Metazoa; Chordata; Chondrichthyes; Rajiformes; Rajidae
Exons: 3
Source: RefSeq, a predicted model, not a curated record